RNAcentral lists this transfer RNA (73 nucleotides) under archaeon. RNAcentral's name for it is "tRNA-Asn". It matches the Rfam family "tRNA". From Rfam's summary of the family: Transfer RNA (tRNA) molecules are approximately 80 nucleotides in length. Their secondary structure includes four short double-helical elements and three loops (D, anti-codon, and T loops). Further hydrogen bonds mediate the characteristic L-shaped molecular structure. tRNAs have two regions of fundamental functional importance: the anti-codon, which is responsible for specific mRNA codon recognition, and the 3' end, to which the tRNAs corresponding amino acid is attached (by aminoacyl-tRNA synthetases). tRNAs cope with the degeneracy of the genetic code in two manners: having more than one tRNA (with a specific anti-codon) for a particular amino acid; and 'wobble' base-pairing, i.e. permitting non-standard base-pairing at the 3rd anti-codon position. The record is from RNAcentral.
GCCCCGGUAGCUCAGUUGGCAGAGCGAACGGCUGUUAACCGUUAGGUCGCUGGUUCAAGUCCAGUCCGGGGCG